UACGGGGGGGGCAAGCGUUGUUCGGAAUUACUGGGCGUAAAGGGCUCGUAGGUGGCCAACUAAGUCGGACGUGAAAUCCCUCAGCUUAACUGGGGAACUGCGUCCGAUACUGGAUGGCUUGAGUUUGGGAGGGGGAUGCGGAAUUCCAGGUGUAGCGGUGAAAUGCGUAGAUAUCUGGAGGAACACCGGUGGCGAAGGCGGCAUCCUGGACCAACACUGACACUGAGGAGCGAAAGCCAGGGGAGCAAACGGG
This 253-nucleotide ribosomal RNA is filed under the name uncultured bacterium. RNAcentral describes it as "partial 16S ribosomal RNA". It matches the Rfam family "Bacterial small subunit ribosomal RNA", at positions 524 to 776 of the family's 1533-position model. The record is from RNAcentral.